AUGCGCGCUGGGGCGGCCGCGGCCCGCUCCUGAUCACGGAUGGGGAGGACGGCAAUGGGGCAGCGCCGAGUUCCUUAAAUUAUACAUUCGGUGUAGCUGAUUUGGUGGACAGUGCAUUUGGAGAAAGCCUUGCUGAGUAUUUCAUGGACACCAUCUACUGAGAGUAUCUGGACUAUCCCUGACUCCCAGUGCAUUGCUACAACCUAUGAAUGUCCAUGAGAAGAAGGCAACAAACAUUCUAGAUGGCAGAGUCACCUCAACAACUGGGUUGUUCUGAGAGCAAUGAUUACAGAUUGGAUGCAUUCUCUGUGACUGGACUUUGAAAGUAAACCUUUGGCUAUAUUGAUGGGCAUGUUCAAUCAAUAAAAUAAUGAGA
Long non-coding RNA from Prinia subflava (tawny-flanked prinia), 376 nucleotides. RefSeq lists it as uncharacterized. NCBI's taxonomy places the organism in Eukaryota, Metazoa, Chordata, Aves, Passeriformes, Cisticolidae. The transcript is spliced from 3 exons. The record is from RefSeq and is a predicted model, not a curated record.